UACGUAUGGUGCAAGCGUUAUCCGGAUUUACUGGGUGUAAAGGGAGCGUAGGCGGCGCGUUAAGUCUGAUGUGAAAACCCGAGGCUCAACCACGGGAGUGCAUUGGAAACUGGCGGGCUGGAGUGCCGGAGAGGUAAGCGGAAUUCCUAGUGUAGCGGUGAAAUGCGUAGAUAUUAGGAGGAACACCAGUGGCGAAGGCGGCUUACCGGACGGCAACUGACGCUGAGGCUCGAAAGCGUGGGGAGCAAACAGG
Molecule: ribosomal RNA, 253 nt
Filed under: uncultured bacterium
Lineage: Bacteria
Description: partial 16S ribosomal RNA
Rfam family: Bacterial small subunit ribosomal RNA
Source: RNAcentral